Molecule: ribosomal RNA, 290 nt
Filed under: uncultured bacterium
Lineage: Bacteria
Description: partial 16S ribosomal RNA
Rfam family: Bacterial small subunit ribosomal RNA
Source: RNAcentral
GGAUUAGAUACCCUGGUAGUCCACACUGUAAACGAUGAACACUAAAUUUUGGGUUAUAUAUUCAGAAUUACAGCUAACGCGUUAAGUGUUCCGCCUGGGGAUUACGGUCGCAAGAUUAAAACUCAAAGGAAUUGACGGGGGCCUGCACAAGCGGUGGAGCAUGUGGUUUAAUUCGACAAUACGCGAGGAACCUUACCAGCUUUUGACAUCUUUUAUCAGAUCAAAGAGAUUUGAUCAUCGGUUCGGCCGGUUUAAGACAGGUGUUGCAUGGUUGUCGUCAGCUCGUGUUG